GCGCCAUUAGAGUUUGGCCAUGGCUCAGGAUGAACGCUAGCGACAGGCUUAACACAUGCAAGUCGAGGGGCAGCACGAUGUAGCAAUACAUUGGUGGCGACCGGCGCACGGGUGAGUAACGCGUAUGCAACCUACCUAUCAGAGGGGAAUAACCCGGCGAAAGUCGGACUAAUACCGCAUAAAACAGGGGUUCCACAUGGAAAUAUUUGUUAAAGAAUUAUCGCUGAUAGAUGGGCAUGCGUUCCAUUAGAUAGUUGGUGAGGUAACGGCUCACCAAGUCCACGAUGGAUAGGGGUUCUGAGAGGAAGGUCCCCCACACUGGUACUGAGACACGGACCAGACUCCUACGGGAGGCAGCAGUGAGGAAUAUUGGUCAAUGGGCGAGAGCCUGAACCAGCCAAGUCGCGUGAAGGAUGAAGGAUCUAUGGUUUGUAAACUUCUUUUAUAUGGGAAUAAAGUGAGGAACGUGUUCCUUUUUGUAUGUACCAUAUGAAUAGGUGUUGGCUAACUCCGUGCCAGCAGCCGCGGUAAUACGGAGGAUGCGAGCGUUAUCCGGAUUUAUUGGGUUUAAAGGGUGCGUAGGUGGUUAAUUAAGUCAGCGGUGAAAGUUUGUGGCUCAACCAUAAAAUUGCCGUUGAAACUGGUUGACUUGAGUAUAUUUGAGGUAGGCGGAAUGCGUGGUGUAGCGGUGAAAUGCAUAGAUAUCACGCAGAACUCCGAUUGCGAAGGCAGCUUACUAAACUAUAACUGACACUGAAGCACGAAAGCGUGGGGAUCAAACAGGAUUAGAUACCCUGGUAGUCCACGCAGUCCUCGAUGAUUACUAGCUGUUUGCGAUACACAGUAAGCGGCACAGCGAAAGCGUUAAGUAAUCCACCUGGGGAGUACGCCGGCAACGGUGAAACUCAAAGGAAUUGACGGGGGCCCGCACAAGCGGAGGAACAUGUGGUUUAAUUCGAUGAUACGCGAGGAACCUUACCCGGGUUUGAACGCAUAUUGACAGCUCUGGAAACAGAGUCUCUAGUAAUAGCAAUUUGCGAGGUGCUGCAUGGUUGUCGUCAGCUCGUGCCGUGAGGUGUCGGCUUAAGUGCCAUAACGAGCGCAACCCUUAUCACUAGUUACUAACAGGUCAUGCUGAGGACUCUAGUGAGACUGCCAGCGUAAGCUGUGAGGAAGGUGGGGAUGACGUCAAAUCAGCACGGCCCUUACAUCCGGGGCGACACACGUGUUACAAUGGUGGGGACAAAGGGCAGCUACCGUGUGAGCGGAUGCUAAUCUCCAAACCCCAUCUCAGUUCGGAUCGAAGUCUGCAACCCGACUUCGUGAAGCUGGAUUCGCUAGUAAUCGCGCAUCAGCCAUGGCGCGGUGAAUACGUUCCCGGGCCUUGUACACACCGCCCGUCAAGCCAUGGGAGUUGGGGGUACCUAAAGUCCGUAACCGCAAGGAUCGGCCUAGGGUAAAACCGAUGACUGGGGCUAAGUCGUACAGGUAACCGUAAAGUUAAUCUCCCUACGCUUUCGUGCUUCACUGUCACAUAAAGUCGAGUAAACUACACUUCGAUUAUCGGAGCUUCUGCGUGAUAUCUAUGCAUUUCACGCUACACACGCAUUCGUCUACUCAAAUAAUACUC
Molecule: ribosomal RNA, 1630 nt
Filed under: Parabacteroides goldsteinii
Lineage: Bacteria; Pseudomonadati; Bacteroidota; Bacteroidia; Bacteroidales; Tannerellaceae
Description: bacterial SSU rRNA
Rfam family: Bacterial small subunit ribosomal RNA
Source: RNAcentral